CGACAAGCGGAGGAGCAUGUGGUUUAAUUCGAUGAUACGCGAGGAACCGUUACCUGGGCUCGAACGUAAGAUGACUGUAGGUGAAAGCUUACAUCUCUUCGGAGCAUUUUACGAGGUGCUGCAUGGUUGUCGUCAGCUCGUGCCGUGAGGUGUCGGGUUAAGUCCCAUAACGAGCGCAACCCCUACCUUUAGUUGCCAUCAGGUUAAGCUGGGGACUCUAAAGGAACUGCCUACGCAAGUAGUGAGGAAGGCGGGGAUGACGUCAAAUCAGCACGGCCCUUACGUCCAGGGCUACACACGUGCUACAAUGGCCGAUACAGAGGGCAGCUACCUGGUGACAGGAUGCAAAUCUCCAAAGUCGGUCUCAGUUCGGAUCGGAGUCUGCAACCCGACUCCGUGAAGUUGGAUUCGCUAGUAAUCGCGCAUCAGCCAUGGCGCGGUGAAUACGUUCCCGGGCCUU
This 460-nucleotide ribosomal RNA is filed under the name uncultured Sphingobacteriales bacterium. Its description in RNAcentral is "bacterial SSU rRNA". It matches the Rfam family "Bacterial small subunit ribosomal RNA", at positions 922 to 1382 of the family's 1533-position model. Lineage: Bacteria; Pseudomonadati; Bacteroidota; Sphingobacteriia; Sphingobacteriales. The record is from RNAcentral.